CCUACGGGAGGCAGCAGUGGGGGAUAUUGCACAAUGGGGGGAACCCUGAUGCAGCGACGCCGCGUGGGUGAAGGAGCGUUUCGGCGCGUAAAGCCCUAUCGGCAGGGAAGAAGGAGGACGGUACCUGACCAAGAAGCCCCGGCCAACUACGUGCCAGCAGCCGCGGUAAUACGGAGGGGGCAAGCGUUAUCCGGAUUUACUGGGUGUAAAGGGGGCGCAGACGGCAGCGCAAGCCAGGAGUGAAAGCCCGGGGCCCAACCCCGGGACUGCUCUUGGAACUGCGCGGCUGGAGUGCAGGAGGGGCAGGCGGAAUGCGUGGUGUAGCGGUGAAAUGCGUAGAUAUCAGGAGGAACACCGGUGGCGAAGGCGGCCUGCUGGACUGCGACUGACGUUGAGGCCCGAAAGCGUGGGGAGCAAACAGGAUUAGAUACCCGGGUAGUC
Molecule: ribosomal RNA, 441 nt
Filed under: uncultured bacterium
Lineage: Bacteria
Description: partial 16S ribosomal RNA
Rfam family: Bacterial small subunit ribosomal RNA
Source: RNAcentral